This 1007-nucleotide long non-coding RNA is filed under the name Pan paniscus (pygmy chimpanzee). RNAcentral describes it as "lncRNA (ENSPPAG00000045158.1)". The record is from RNAcentral. Lineage: Eukaryota; Metazoa; Chordata; Mammalia; Primates; Hominidae.
GACAGGCUUAGCUAUGACUAAAAGUGUUGCUGGGUGUAAGACUAUGGAGGAUACAUCUGUAUUCAACUUAGGGCAAGAGAGCAUCAAGCUUCAGGAAGGAGAGAUUAUGAUUGUUUUACUUGCUUUCAGAUAAUGGAUUCUCUCACUUCUUUUCUUUUCUUUUCUUUUCCUUUUCUUUCUCUCUCUCUCUCUCUCUGUCACAUCUAUAUAGAUAUCCAUUCAUAUAUCCAUACAGGAAAGAAGGAAGGAAGGAAGGAAGGAAGGAAGGAAGGAAGGAAGGAAGGAAGGAAUGAAGGAAGGAAGGAAGAUACCCCAAGUAUAAAUGGAUUCAAGCUACUUGGAAUUUGGAUGACUAUGAUUUAAGAGAAUGUCAGUUUUAGGGAGAAAAGGGAAAAGAAAGUAGAAGAAGGAACAGAAAAACCAUCUAUGAAAGAAGUCUAAGUCCCCCUCAAGGUUAUCAUUUUUAGUUUAACCAAAGAAACAAAAGUGAAAACCUAAUACUCAAAAUUUGGGUGGCUGAGGCUGGUGGAUCACUUGAGCCCAGGAGUUUGAGACCAGCCAGGGCAACAUGGCAAAACCCAGUCUCUACCAAAAUAAAAUACGAAAAUUAGCCAGGCAUAGGGGUGCGUGCCUGUAGUCCCAGCUACUUGGGAGGCUGAGGUGAGUGGAUCACAUGAGCCUGGGUCAAGCCUGCAGUGAGCCGAGAUAACACCACUGCACUCCAGCCUGGGUGACAGAGGGAGGUCCUAUCUCAAAAAACAAACAAACAAACAAAACUUAACAAAAAAUAAAAAAUAAAAAAUUACAUAUUUUGAAUCAUAGCCCAAACCAAGAAUAAAAUAUUAAAUAAUAGACCUUUGGUCUUUGUGUUCCCUCACCCUCAUCAACUUAAUAAGAGGUUGACAUUUUUGUAAAAAGGUAGUCAAGAUCUACCAGUUAAACUGAACAAUAAACAGGAACUCUAUUGCACCACCAUGUUUCAGCUUGGCUUUACAGGAUGAGUGAGU